Long non-coding RNA from Dermacentor silvarum, 457 nucleotides. RefSeq lists it as uncharacterized. The record is from RefSeq and is a predicted model, not a curated record. Lineage: Eukaryota; Metazoa; Arthropoda; Arachnida; Ixodida; Ixodidae. The transcript is spliced from 3 exons.
UGUAAGCAACUCUGACAAUGCAUGCAUGCUUGAAUUUGCAGUGCAAACGAUUGGACAGAGAUGAUAAUGUAAAGGACGAGGCAUUGGUAGUGUGUUUGCAACAAGCUGUCCUGUUUUGACCAACAGAGAAUGUUGCUUUUCAAAGUUUCGUUGCUAAUAUCGUCCCUCAGUGUCUUGUGAAGACAUCAGCGACACUGAAAACUCGCUGAAUUGCGUACGGAAAUGGUUAUUGUCAAUUAACCUCAUUCAUCUUAGCAGCCUUCCCAACUAGACAAUGCCACAAUGAAUGCAGAAAAAACAUCAGGGGGGACAACACCUUAUGCACAGCCCUCGAAAACUCUCCCCAAAACAGCACCAGAGCCUGCGAAUGUGCAAACGAUUGGACAGAGAUGAUAAUGUAAAGGACGAGGCAUUGGCAGUGUGUUUGCAACAAGCUGUCCUGUUUUGCCCAACAGAU